Molecule: ribosomal RNA, 804 nt
Filed under: uncultured bacterium
Lineage: Bacteria
Description: bacterial SSU rRNA
Rfam family: Bacterial small subunit ribosomal RNA
Source: RNAcentral
GCGGCGUGCUUAACACAUGCAAGUCGAGCGGUAAGGCCCUUCGGGGUACACGAGCGGCGAACGGGUGAGUAACACGUGAGUAAUCUGCCCUUCACUUCGGGAUAACCACCGGAAACGGUGGCUAAUACCGGAUACGACCGCCCCGGGCAUCUGGUGGUGGUGGAAAGUUCUGGCGGUGGAGGAUGAGCUCGCGGCCUAUCAGCUUGUUGGUGGGGUAGUGGCCUACCAAGGCGACGACGGGUAGCUGGUCUGAGAGGACGAUCAGUCACACUGGGACUGAGACACGGCCCAGACUCCUACGGGAGGCAGCAGUGGGGAAUCUUGCGCAAUGCGCGAAAGCGUGACGCAGCAACGCCGCGUGGGGGAAGAAGGCCUUCGGGUUGUAAACCCCUUUCAGGAUGGACGAAGCCCGGGCGGUGAAUAGCUCGACCCGGGUGACGGUACCUCCAGAAGAAGCCCCGGCUAACUACGUGCCACCAGCCGCGGUAAUACGUAGGGGGCAAGCGUUGUCCGGAAUCAUUGGGCGUAAAGCGCGUGUAGGCGGUCCGGUAAGUUCGGUUGUGAAAGUCCAGGGCUCAACCCCUGGGCAUGCCCGACCGAUACUGUCCGGACUAGAGUCCCGGAAAGAGGGCGAGUGUAAACUUCCUGGUGUAGCGGGUGAAAUGCGCAGAUAUCGGGGAGGAACCACCUAUGGACGAACGCAGCUUCGCUUGGGACGGUUACUGACGCUGAGACGCGAAAGGUCGUUGGGGGAGCCAUACAGGAUUAGGAAUACUCUGGUAGGGUCCACGCCUCGUAAACUGA